Molecule: transfer RNA, 91 nt
Filed under: Chloroflexota bacterium
Lineage: Bacteria; Bacillati; Chloroflexota
Description: Chloroflexi bacterium (sediment metagenome) tRNA-Ser
Rfam family: tRNA
About the family: Transfer RNA (tRNA) molecules are approximately 80 nucleotides in length. Their secondary structure includes four short double-helical elements and three loops (D, anti-codon, and T loops).
Source: RNAcentral
GGGAAGGUGCCAGAGUGGCCGAUUGGGCUCGCCUGCUAAGUGAGUGCGGGGGUUGACUCCGCCCAGGGUUCGAAUCCCUGCCUUCCCGCAA